GCUCGAGUGGCGAACGGGUGAGUAACACGUGAGUAACCUGCCCUUGACUUUGGGAUAACUUCAGGAAACUGGGGCUAAUACCGGAUAGGAGCUCCUGCUGCAUGGUGGGGGUUGGAAAGUUUCGGCGGUUGGGGAUGGACUCGCGGCUUAUCAGCUUGUUGGUGGGGUAGUGGCUACCAAGGCGUGACGGGUAGCCGGCCUGAGAGGGUGACCGGCCACAUUGGGACUGAGAUACGGCCCAG
RNAcentral lists this ribosomal RNA (242 nucleotides) under uncultured Actinomycetales bacterium. Its description in RNAcentral is "partial 16S ribosomal RNA". It matches the Rfam family "Bacterial small subunit ribosomal RNA", at positions 89 to 334 of the family's 1533-position model. The record is from RNAcentral. Lineage: Bacteria; Bacillati; Actinomycetota; Actinomycetes; Actinomycetales.